ACAAAAGGGAAAAAAAGCGCGGGCGGGCGCAAGCCCGUUCGUUGCCGACUCCCGAAAUCCUGUAUUCACCCCAAGUUCCUUUAAAACUUUUUAAAUAAAAAAACUUGCAAAAAAGACCACCAUUGUUCGGUGGCGCUUAAUGCAUACGUGA
This 151-nucleotide unclassified non-coding RNA is filed under the name uncultured fungus. RNAcentral's name for it is "sequence contains ITS1". The record is from RNAcentral. Lineage: Eukaryota; Fungi.